GAUGAACGCUGGCGGCGUGCCUAAUACAUGCAAGUCGAGCGAACGGACGAGAAGCUUGCUUCUCUGAUGUUAGCGGCGGACGGGUGAGUAACACGUGGAUAACCUACCUAUAAGACUGGGAUAACUUCGGGAAACCGGAUCUAAUACCGGAUAAUAUUUUGAACCGCAUGGUUCAAAAGUGAAAGACGGUCUUGCUGUCACUUAUAGAUGGAUCCGCGCUGCAUUAGCUAGUUGGUAAGGUAACGGCUUACCAAGGCAACGAUGCAUAGCCGACCUGAGAGGGGGAUAGGCCACCUGGGAACUGAGCCACGGUCCAGACUCCUAAGGGAGGCAGCAGUAGGGAAUGUUACGCAAUGGGCGAAAGCAUUACGGAGCAACGCAGCGUGAGUGAUGACGGUCUUCGGAUCGUAAAAAUCUGUUAUUAGGGAAGAACAUAUGUGUAAGUAACUGUGCACAUCUUGACGGUACCUAAUCAGAAAGCCACGGCUAACUACGUG
RNAcentral lists this ribosomal RNA (497 nucleotides) under uncultured bacterium. RNAcentral describes it as "partial 16S ribosomal RNA". It matches the Rfam family "Bacterial small subunit ribosomal RNA", at positions 28 to 507 of the family's 1533-position model. The record is from RNAcentral.